RNAcentral lists this transfer RNA (73 nucleotides) under Patiria miniata (bat star). RNAcentral's name for it is "tRNA-Thr". It matches the Rfam family "tRNA". Rfam says of the family: Transfer RNA (tRNA) molecules are approximately 80 nucleotides in length. Their secondary structure includes four short double-helical elements and three loops (D, anti-codon, and T loops). The record is from Rfam by way of RNAcentral. Lineage: Eukaryota; Metazoa; Echinodermata; Asteroidea; Valvatida; Asterinidae.
GGCUGGAUAGCUCAGUUGGUAGAGCACCCGAAUGGUAAUCUGGAGGUCGCAGGUUCAAACCCCGCUCCAGUCA